This 568-nucleotide ribosomal RNA is filed under the name Desarmillaria tabescens. RNAcentral's name for it is "partial 28S ribosomal RNA". It matches the Rfam family "Eukaryotic large subunit ribosomal RNA", at positions 69 to 616 of the family's 3401-position model. Lineage: Eukaryota; Fungi; Basidiomycota; Agaricomycetes; Agaricales; Physalacriaceae. The record is from RNAcentral.
CAAGGAUUCCCCUAGUAACUGCGAGUGAAGAGGGAAAAGCUCAAAUUUAAAAUCUGGCAGUUUCACUGUCCGAGUUGUAAUUUAGAGAAGUGUUGCCCGCGUUGGACCGUGUACAAGUCUCCUGGAACGGAGCGUCAUAGAGGGUGAGAAUCCCGUCUUUGACACGGACUACCAAGGCUUUGUGGUACGCUCUCGAAGAGUCGAGUUGUUUGGGAAUGCAGCUCUAAAUGGGUGGUAAAUUCCAUCUAAAGCUAAAUAUUGGCGAGAGACCGAUAGCAAACAAGUACCGUGAGGGAAAGAUGAAAAGAACUUUGGAAAGAGAGUUAAACAGUACGUGAAAUUGUUGAAAGGGAAACGCUUAAAGUCCAGUCGCGUUGGUUAGGAAUCAGCCUUGGUUUUCCUUGGUGCACUUCCUAGUCGACGGGUCAACAUCAGUUUUGACCGUUGGAUAAAGGUCAAGGGAAUGUGGCACCUUCGGGUGUGUUAUAGCCUUUGAUUGUAUACAGCGGUUGGGACUGAGGAACUCAGCACGCCGAAAGGCCGGGUCUUGUACCACGUUCGUGCUUAG